GACUUGAUACUUUAAAAUAAAAGAUCUGAUUUGCAUUUAGAUAAUAAGUCAAAAGACUUUCAGGUCA
Molecule: transfer RNA, 67 nt
Filed under: Bathytoma punicea
Lineage: Eukaryota; Metazoa; Mollusca; Gastropoda; Neogastropoda; Conidae
Description: tRNA-Ala
Source: RNAcentral